CCCUUAGAUGUUCUGGGCCGCACACGCGCUACACUGAAGGAGGCAGCGUGUACUCCUGGAUCGAAAGAUUUGGGUAACCCGCGAAUCUCCUUCGUGCUAGGGAUUGAGGUUUGCAAUUAUCCUUCAUGAACGAGGAAUUCCCAGUAAGUGCAAGUCAUAAGCUUGCGCUGACUACGUCCCUGCCCUUUGUACACACCGCCCGUCGCUACUACCGAUUGAAUGAUUUAGUGAGGACUUCGGACUGGGACCGAUGCGGCUUUGGCUGCGUCGGUAUUCUGGAAAGAUGUCCAAACUGUAUCAUUUAGAGGAAGUAAAAGUCGUANCA
This 325-nucleotide ribosomal RNA is filed under the name uncultured eukaryote. RNAcentral's name for it is "partial 18S ribosomal RNA". It matches the Rfam family "Eukaryotic small subunit ribosomal RNA", at positions 1470 to 1796 of the family's 1831-position model. The record is from RNAcentral.